CAAUUGAUUUUUUCCUUUGGCCAUUGAUAAUGUGAUCUAAGAAUUUUGGUACUAUUUUUCAUAUCCAGUACAUGCCACAGACCAUUUUUGCAGUAAGUAUUGAUGUCGUUUGCAGGCACCUCUUUUGCCUAAAGCUCAAGUUCAGUGGUAGGACUUGAUGUCUUCAAUUACUAAGAACUCAGGUCAGUCUCAGUUCUGUGGUCAGAGAUAGACUCUCCCUGGUACCUGCCAACUUGCCAGUUCCAGAGUGGUACCACACAGGUGGAGGGGUGCGGGGGUACCUCUGACUAGAGCAAUUGGUAUCACUGCUGGGGAGACACACAAUCUAAAGAUUGUCUUAUGAUUCCAGAUGAUGGAUCCACAUAAGCCUUGUAGUUAAAUGUUUUUAAACAAUGUGAAUAAGAUACAAAAGGUACAGAUAUUGCUUCAGAUGCUUUUGCAGUAUUAUUUGAUAUUGAUGCAGUUUGCUUAGAGUUCAUUGUGUUUUUUUAGCUGUGCAAACAAAAACCAAGCCCCAUUUAUUAUGCACAGCUCUGUUGAAUGCUUGUGGUUAAAUGUCUGCCAGAUAUUUUAAUAUAUAGCCACAGAUCACUCUGGGUGACAUCAACACCAACAAGGUCUGUGUGUUUUUUUUUAGUUUCUUUAAAAAAUUUAGUUUGGGCUAUGGAUAUAACCCACUGUAGCAACAGCAACAGUAAAAAGUCACUGAGGAGAACAGAGUAACCUAUAUAGAAAGAGGAUGAUUUAACUAGACAUAUGACAUAGAAAUUAGACACAGUUAGAAGAAAGCUUCCACAUAUUCCUACCUGGGGACCUAUUGGCACACCUCUGUGAGUGCUCAUGGGUUAUUUUCUUGGUCUGCCCCACUGAAGGCUAACCUCUCCGUGGUACACUAAAUCCCAACAUCUGUCCUUUGGCUCUUGUAAUUAUCCAUAUGUGAUCUCUUCUUCCACUCCCAUCUCCCUCCAGCUACUACUGUGCCAUUUCUCUUUCAAAGAGUUUUCUGUAUUUACUGCCUGGCAUACUUCUCCUCUCAUGCUUCUGCAGUCCUCACUCCAGUUAGCCUUUGUGUUCCCCGCCCAUCCCAAACAACUCUCCCUUCAGUAGGAACACCUGGGACCUCCAUGUUUCAAAUUCAGUGUUGAGUUCCCAGUCCUCAUCUUAAUCAUCCUUCCAGCAGGAUCUGGCACAGCCAAUCCUGCCCUCCUCUUUGAAAUCAUUUUUUUAACUUGGCUUCCUUGAUGCCACACUUGGUACUCUGCCUACCCAGACUGUAUUCCUUGCCAGUCUCCUUAGCUGAUCAUGCUGGCAUUGCCUCAGCCCCUCAUGUUCAAGUGCCUCAUUCCUCCCACUGCUUCUCUAACUGCUCUGACUCCCAAUGGUAGAUUAUAUAGUCUCUUGACUUUUAAAUGCCAGUUAAAUACUGGCGAUUAUCAUCUCAGAACUCUCUGUUCAAUUGCAACUGUUUUCUCAGCAUCUCUACUUGGAUGUCUAAUUGGCAUCUCAAACCUAGCAUGUCUGAAACUUAACUCUUCAUUCUCUUCUCCAUACCUACUCACCCCUGCCAUACCCAGCCUGCCCCAUCUUGGUAAAUGGCAACACCAUGUUUUCAAUUGCACAGGCCAGAAAUCCUGGAGUUGCCAUUGGCUCCUCUAUUUCACUUCUACCUGUAUCAGCAAACCCUGUCUACUCUUUAAAACGUAUCCAGAAUCUGACCAGCUACCUGUUAUCUCCACUGCUACCACCUAGGCCUUUCAGCUGACUAGCACCUGUCAUCUUUCAACUGGAUCAGUCAGCUGGGUUCCCUCUUAUAUUCUUGCCUUUGGAAUAAUCCUCCAAAGAUCCUUAGACCAUUCCAUUCUCCCAAUCAGAAGCCUUAUAGAGUUUUCUAUUUCAGAAUAAAGAUGAUAGCCCUUAUAAACACAAUGGCCUAGAAAUUCCUAUGUAAUCUGCUCCCCCUAUCCCUGCCCAGCUUAAUCAAUCUCAUCAUCAUCUUCCUUCUCUCUUGUUUAUUUUGCUGUGGUGACACUGCCUUCUCUAUUGUCCUUAUAACUGAGCAGAUACACUCCCACCUCAGCGCUCCUGUUCAGAUUCUCUCCUGUCUUGCCAUCUUCUUUGUUGCCUAGAUAUUUCUGGGAUCUGCUUCCUCUUUUCCUGCAGAUCUUUGUUGAAAUGCCUACUUUAUCAGAGAAGCCAUCUUUCACUGAUCACCCUAAACAAAAUAACAGCUGCCCCCACCUGUAUUGCAGGAUUGCCUAUCAUUUUUAUCCUGCUUGAGCACUCAUCACCAGCAAGCAUAUUGUGCAUUUGAUUGCAUUUUUUCCUCUCUAGACCGGAAAAUCCAUUAGGGUAGGGACUUUGUCCCUUGUUCAUUGCUGUACCCCCUGAAACAUGGUACCUGGAGGUUACCACGUACUGAAAAAAUUUUUGAUUGCCCAAGUGAAUUUUUCUAAGCAAGGCAUUAAGAAAUAGGCUAUAGGGAAUGUAAGACCCAGUGUACCUGCCAUUUGAGAUGUUCUCAAUAAGAUCAUACUUACUAGAAUAAAAUUUCAUUGGCAUUGAAAUAAAAUGUCAUUGUGUACAAAGGAAGGCAUGAGAGCAGCAGGGAGUAAAUUUAAUAUUAGUGAAACAAAUGUUCAUUGUUGGAGAAUGACUGAAAUUUUACCUUUUCUUUCAUAGCAACAACUAGAAAGUUAAAUGUAGUUGAAGCCAUGCUAUGUUUUAUUGAGUUACAUUUAGAAGGACUGCUGAUCAUACAACAAGCAAUGCAACUGAAGGUAGAAGAAGAAAUCUCCCAGGACAAAAGAAUGAGAAGCUAGUUUGAUUGCCACCCAAGAUUGUCUUUAAGGCAUUAUAUCAUAGUUCGUUCCUUUCCUAAUGGUACAUAAAAUAAUGGAGUGUCUUACAAUCAGCAGUUUCAGCUUGGAUGAAAUAAAUAGGGUGCAUCUCUUUUCUAGAUCUUAGAAUUUUAAGAUCUAUAAAUUGUAAUUUUGCCAUUUAUAGUUAUUAGUUUAUAUUUUAGUUUCUAAGAGAACAAAUGUUUCUCUUCCUUAAGAAUUAAACAAGGAAUGGAGAGCUUAGCCCGGCACUUGUGUUAUGGUUUCUUGGUUUUCCUAGUGAAUGUCUUCCUCCAGCAUUAAGUAGAGAACUGGCGUCAUUGGGACUAAUUAUCUAGUAGUGAAUUUUGACUUUUGCUGUGAUUCGUUUGAAGAUAAUUUUUUUCAGACAGCUGCAGGUUUUUCAAUUUUUUCUUUUGAAAUAAUUAUAGGCUCCUAAGAAGAUACAAAAAUAGUACAGAGAGGUCUCAAGUAUCUAUCACCCAGCUUCUUCCCAUGGUGAUGUCUCUCAUAACUAUAGUACAGCUGCAGUAUUUGAUAGAUGAUCGUGUUCUCUUCCAAUGACCUCCUGGGGUAGGAAUAGGGAGAACAGGUAGUUUUGUCAUGAUAUACAGCUAGCCAUCUCACUUUAGGGGAGGGUUCCUGGUCACAAAAGUUUAGACCAGAGGUGGAGAGAAACUCAUACAUACAUUGGGUUUUAUGACCUAGAGGAAAUCAUCACUUAAGGUUAAAAUAUGUUCAAGAAUUAAUUUGUGGACUAGAGCUUUCCAUUGAUUUGUUGUUGUUUGCUUCAGCACAGCUAUCUUUUGAAGAAAUCAUUUUAUAGUGAUUGUAGACCCUCUAGAAAACUCUUGAAAUAGAUCAGCUUGGAGUUCUAGAAUCACAUUUGGAAGGGACUUUAACCACUCAUUGGAUAGGGUGACUACCCACUUGACAUCCUUCCCAGGUCCCUAUUCCAGCUCCUAAGACCCUCCUCUGUUUAGGGUCUCAGUCCAGUUUCUACAUGAUGGGGCUUUUCUUACCCACACAUCAGACAAUGGAUAGAUACCUCUGUGUUUUUUUCUUCUGCCUUUUAAAUACAUCUAGAUCCUUUAAUCCUGCAGUAGUUUUAGCACCUGUGCCCCCUCCGCCAUCCUAUUUGCUGCUUCUCCAUAGGCUACAGUUUUUCAAUAGCGUGGCCACAUCUUGGAGAGAGGAUAAUGAUGGAUCAGGUAAAUUAGGGUGUGAGCUGAGAGGUAAAUUAUAGGAAAAAUAUAGGGACUUGGUACAAGAUUGGUAACUAAAGCUCAUUAUUAAAAUCAUAUUCUUCAAAUGAGGGUUGUGCCUUCCCUUCUUUCUCUUUUCUGUUUUGUAUUGUCUAUUUCCCUUUGGCUUGUACUUUUGGACACCCUGUGCUAUCUUCUAUCUUUUAAAGCCAGACUUUUAGGAUGUCUGCAUUGUUAGGGUCUGGGAUACCCCUGUCUACCUGGUCUGAAUACUCACCCCUUUUUUACUCCUUUACUUCAUCACCUCCCAGCCGAGACCUCCACCUCCACCUCCACCUUCACCUUCACCUUCACCUCCACCUCUACCUCUGUCCAUGCUCAGAUGUCUGGACUCCAAGUUGUCUUUGCUGCUGUUUUAUAUUCUUUUUUCUCAUUGCUAGAUGAGAACCAGUUCAUAUCAGCAUAAUUAGCGACUGUGCUAUGUGAAUAUGCUGAGACCAGUCUUUUCAAUUUAUUAACACUUAAUUAUGUCUUCCAAAAUUCUGAUUCUGCCCACGUAAAACACUGUUCUCCCACUUUCAGUCUUAAAUGUUUAGCCUGUUGGGGAGCAGUAAAACCCCAACAGGCUACUAUACAUAAACAACAGAGAUGUAAACUUGGGCAUACAAAUUGUCAUCCCCAAAGAGAUCAUCAUUAGAGGUCAAAAUUUCCAAGUUGAACAACACACAGAAAUAGAGAAGUUGAAAGCCUUGGCUUAUUGAGAGUGGUCUUGAAAUAAUUUAGUUGGAGACUCCAAUAAAGGUACUAGGUAGGACAAAAAACUGUCCUAUAAAUAGACAAGAACUUCAGAAAACCCAGCAGUGUGAUAAAGACAUUAUUCUCUGAGCUCUUGUGUGUAGAAUAUUCUAUAAGAGUACUGAAUUCAUAGAGAACGUUAGCCUAGCUACAGAAUAUCCAUACCUAUGUUUAAAAGGAAAAAAAUCAUGGGUAGGUGACCAAGAGGACAAUGUUUUUCAGCUCAUUUGUAUAGUAAAAAUAUAGCAGAAUCUCAGUCCAAAAUAUGCCCUCUAACUUCCUAAUGCAAAGACUUGCCCAGGAGUAGAAAAUAUUUAUUUGUUCAAGCCAUUCCCCUUAGAAGCCAUAUUUAUUCCCAUCGUAAUAACUCUACAUACGUUUUUCCUCCUUUUUUUGUUCUAUGUUUUUUUUCCCCCUCCACUUAGGACAAUAAGGGAAUACAUGUAUGUUUUUAAAUAAUGUUUUGAUCCAUCAUUUUCUUAAUACUACUCUUAGUAAAUUCUUACAUUGAUGAAGACCCACCUAUUUCAGCUAAGACAAUUAAAAAAUUUACUGACAACUUCAUGUUCACUACCACCUAUUAGGAAAGGAAUGCCCACUUUUUCCUGAGGGUUUGUUGCAUGUAGCAUUCCCAUUGGAAUGCUCUUGAGAGGUGUUGGAUUCAUUCUCUGAGCAAUUGUUUUCAUAAAUUCAGCAUAGUGCUCAUGGCUAGAUGGUGUGUAACCUGGUCUCUACCCAAUAUUUUCCCUGUUGUUUUCACACUUAUCUCCAAGGGCCAAAGAUUAUCUCACAGAAGCUCCGAAAGAAUUCCUGUUUCUGAAAUUCAUGUGUACAAGGAAAUUGUUAAAGGGAAGAGGGUGAUAAUCGAGUUCAAACUCUUAAGAAUUUUUGUAAAGGAUUAUAUUGAUUAACAAAAGCUCUCUGGCAUCUUCUGGCAGACACGUGAAAAAAAAGCAGUGAUUGUAAUUAGUUUUUAGUGAGUGGCGCAUAUUUGAUAAUUGCCCUGAUUCACGCUAUUAUAUUUCUCUUCCUUCACCCACAGCAAAACAAGCUUAAUUUGAUUCAUACCCUUAGGAAGAAAAAAAAGACUAAGAUUACUCACAUGGCUGUGAUUCAGCUCUUGGCUCCCACCACCACCUCCUCCUCCUCAUCCUCCGUUUCUCCCACCCUGCCCACUCCCAUCUUCACUCCCACCCAGUGGUGUUGCCAUCAGAAAACUGAGUCAGUUCAUUCUUUAAAAUGGGUGGGGAAAGAAGACAACUAAUAAAAACUUUUCUGAGCAAAGUAUACUGCUUAGAUCUGAAAUCAUUACAGGAAGACAGGCAAAGUGGCUACUUAUAUAACAUGAGAAGCUUGGAACAGGCCAGGUCUUAUAAAAAAUGUUCACAUUGUCUUAUAACACUAGACAUGGUUAGUGUGCAUGUCUAUAGAGGCACACACAUAGCCAUGGAGGCAGGUUUCUUUGAAAAAUUUCUAAUAUUGGGAACGUUACAUACACUAUAUACAAAACAAAUCAUCUGUUUUCAAAGUAGGAUACUUUGCUGUAAUCCAAAGUAAUAUAGCAGGUAACCAGAGAUUUUUGAUUAUUGUAAAACAUAGGUGAUAAAGUCACUUUUUUUUUGCCUUCAAAUGAGCAAUGUGACUUGGAAACCUGAAAUUAUUGUUUCCCACCCCCAGGAGUAGGAAAGUUAGUACUGGGGGUGGCAGCUUGCCGUUAGAGAGGUGAUGGUGGUGGCAAAUGUUAUCGAGGCAGCUAUUUCUAUUCCUUCUUUGUAUUUUCUUUCUUACUCCCAUUCUUCGGAUGAGGCAGCCUUGGAGAAAUGCAGUGACUAUUCCAUUUUCCCACGUGUAAUAAUCUUAGAGCCAGUAUUGGAAGCCAUACUAUAUCUGUCUUUACCCUGACCUGUAGUUUUGGUUUCUGGGAACCCAAUACAGUCAGAUCAUUUGGUAUUUUAGAACUUUUCCUGGGACAGGAAUGGCCCUGAAUAGGAAGCUCCACAGCAGCCUUGAACUGAACUGUUGAGUUAGGUCUGUAUGUAUCCUCAAACCAAGCUCUCACUCGGAGGGGAACAGAAUGGAGCCUUCCCCUAACACUCGUUUGUAAUCCCAACCACCCUUUCCUCGUUUUGCUGGCUUUUCCCCAAUUAUGUUACCAUCUGUCUUUGAAACAUUGCCUGGAUAAAGCAUUCGCCCUUAAACAAAACACAACUGCUUCACCUCCCCACACCCAGAGCAGUGCAGAGCACCGUAUUUGAGGAAUUCCAUAUUUUAUAAAGCUUGCCUGUACCUCAGAGAUGUCUGGUUGCUGUCCUUUUAUCAUUCUUCAAAUAUGUUAUGUGCUGACUGGAAACUAUUAGCUUUUGUCACUGAAGGGUUUGUGGGAUGCUUGAAAUGGCUUCAUAUAGUUUGCAGAUGGAAAUUCAUAUGGUUUGCUUAAGAAAUGAAAAUUUUUAAUGAAAGUCAGCAUAGAAUAGAAUGCACACUGAGAUUCCCCACACAACUCUCUGGGUUUCCUUUAGGGUAAAUGUGGCAGGUUUUUUUUGUCAUCACCCUGUGGAGAGAAUAAACAGUAGACCUCCAAAACUUUUUUCUGGAUCUGUACCUACAUUGUCACGUCUCCAGUUAGUGGCCCCUUUUUGAUGACCAAGGGCAGUGCUCUGUACCCACCAGGGCUGUAGUGUUUCUCCCAUUCUCUGACCUGUUCACCUCUUUUCUUGGCUGAUGACCGUUCCAGUGUCUUGACAUAUCAGGGCCAAUGAGAAUGGGAGUUCUUAAAUGCCCUCCCCAUCUGGCCCCAGGAGACUGUGGGGAAGUUUGGAGGGGAAAGGCCCAAACAGAUCUCAGAUGUAAAGCUUGAAUAUUUUAAAUGCUGAAAUGUUGGGAGGAAAAUAUGGAGUGGCUAGGUGAGUGUCAUUAUUAGUAAAAUAGUUACAAGUGAUUCUUUUUAAAAAGGUUAUGGAAUUGUAUUUUUCUCAUUCAGAAAUGUUAUUUAGGGAAUGACUAAGAUGUGUAUGACUCCACAGUUACUUGUCAGGCAUUGUUCUCAGCACUUAGAGAGUAAUUUCUUAAUCCAGAUGCUACAGCUAGGAACAACAGAACCGGAAUUCAAAUCCCAGCAAGUCUGGCUCCAGAAGCUAGGCUUUUAAAAGAUAUAGGUCCUUUUAGAUGUCAGAGUUUUAGGUGUUUGAUUUUAUUAACAUUCUGUUUUCAUAGCCUGGGUUGAUUUUCAUUGAAAGUCAUCUAAUUAUAGAUUUGAUGUUCUCUAUGUAUUAUAAGAAGGUAACUGUCUCUAAGCUAAUGAAACUCAAUACAUGCUGUUGAAGUAUGAAUGAGUUUUAAUAACCGAGUUUUAAUAACAUAAAGUAGAAAGACUUCAAAAGUCUAAUUCAGAAAUUCACUUCUAAAUAGCUUUGUGAAUUUAAUUUCUGAAAAUCAAUUCUAUAUGUAAAUUGAAAUGUGAAGUAUAUUUCAGUAAACCCUAAAGGGAUAGUCUGUAAAGUGUACAGUCAACUCCUGAAUUUACACUGUUUCAGUGUGUAUACCUUUUUUGUGCCCUCAUCUACCGAUUUGAAAAUUAGAUACUAUAACAGUUUCCUAUGUUAUAAAAGUAGAAUGUGUUUUCUAUAUUAUAGCAAAACUAGUUAUCCAUCAAGGCAUAAUCAACAAUAAAUGCCACGCCUUGGUCAGAGCAGUUGCUGACUUUGCUCAAGGUUAAAGGAAGUAUGGUGAAAAGAGAUAACUGUAAUUAAACUGCUCAGCCCAAGCCUUCCAGAUUUUUCUUGUGGGGAAUUACACUUCUUAUUACUACAUUAUUCCUGUCUGCGUAAUACCUGGAAACAAUGUACUCUAUGUAAUGCCACUCCCAUCUUGGCAGUAAACAUUUUACUGAAGAGGAAGACUUUUAGGGCCUAAAUGUCAAUUUAUCUAAUUGGAAUUUUCACAGAUGACAUUUGAUGCUUUUCAGGUUAUUAUUUUGCAGCUUUUGGACAGAUUGGGAUUAAAGGACUAUACAGAUUUUUUUGUUACGUGAUUGUAUCGUGUAUGUGCUUGUGUGUGAGUUGCCCAGGUUAGACUGAAUUGCAGUAAAUGCAAAAGUGAAAGCUGCAACGUGGCUCUGACCACUUCCUGAAGAACCUGCCACAUGGGCCCCAGACUUAGAGACUUAAACUUGAGUCCUCAGGAUGGAAAGAAUCUGAGUCCCUCAUGGUAAAGACCUCAAGUAAAUCUAAACAUAUAAAACCUGUUUAUUGCUCUUGUGUGAACCCAAAUGUUUGGUUGCCUCAGUUUUCGGUGCACUAUUCUGAAAUUGUAAAUAUCAGGGUACAGAACCAGAACUUUGUCAUACCUGAAAAAUAAUCUUUUAAGUUUCUUGUUUACAUGAUCCUAUUAUUUGAAACCACUUAGAACAUGCGUUCUGAUCCUUAAAUGUACAAGUUAUUAAAAAAAAUGUGAGCUUGUCAGAUAACUACAACCACCAGUCUAAUAAAACUGAGUCACAUCAAAAUGGGCUGCACUUUACACUAUCCUCUCAUUCUAGGGAAAACGUGGCUGGGGGAGGUAGUCUGAGUCAUCACCUGGUUUGUUUGACAUAUACUUCCUUCCAUAAAUUGGGGAUGGCAAGCAGCACAGUGUUCUGGGCUUUCCUGGGAGAAGGAGCUGUUGAAGCCUUGCAUGAUCAAAAUAUAGGGCCUUUAGGUUUGACGGAUGAAGUGGAGCCAAUAUUUUGACCUCAAAUGUCGGGGAGGGGGAGAAGAACUAACAGAUUCAAACAAGGAACAUUUGUAAGUACCAGUUUUGGAGGUCAGAGAAAAUGGUAGGGGUUUUCACAGUUGAAUUUCUUGCUAGGACAUAAAAGGUAUUUAAGAGAGAAAUUGGGGGCAUUAAAAUAAAAGUAAAUUGGUAGCUAGGUCACUAAGUGGGUUCAUUUGCUUAAUAAGAAUGUUCUUGGUUUAGAUAGUUUAGAUGAUUGUGUGUGGGGCAGGGGAGGAAUGAUUUGGUAGUUACAGUACAAAUUUGUCCUGACGGUGUUUAAUUUUGCCUAAUUUAUCCAACUAUUUUAAAAGAAAUAAAUUUCAUGUAAGAACCUUGUCAUGGCAAAUUUGAAUCUUUAGGGGUAUUUCCAGGGGAUAGAGAGAGAGGCUCAUCUGCCUUGCACAUUUUCCUACAGCAGUUUUGUAGAGGCUCACUGGAGCUUUUUAAACUAUAAAAGUUUAGAAUGUAAAAUUGUUGGGGAGACUAUAGAGGAAUUUGAAGGAAGAGUAGAUUUAUAGCUGAAUUGGGUUUGUAAACUCAGCCUCUGCUUUGGGAUUAUUUUUUAAUAUGUGCCAGACAGUCUUCUGAUUUCCAUCCUGGCUUGGUUGUGGCUCUUUCUCUGACUGUGUGUGGCUGGGGUGUUCCCUGUUUUAAAGCUGGAGUUGUUGCUGCCUGGGCGUUUUCUGUUUCAGCUUAUGGCUUUUUUUCUCUUUUCCUGAAUGAGUGUCCUUUGUGUAACCCCAGUAAUUCAGAAAUCCUGCAGUCAUAGGGACUGCCCUGUCAUGUGACUUAGGUGCUAGGUGCUGGCUGCGAUUGGUCAGCAGCUAAUUGGCGGGUCCCUAUAAGAGGUCCUGGGUUGGGAGUCUGGCCACUUCUUCUGCCUGGGCUGCUGCUUAGUGGGGGUGGGGGUCUGCCCAGUGAUUCAGCCACAUGUGAUAGAUGACCUAGUGAAUGCUUUCUUAGGGUCUGCACACCAGUGGAAGACACUCAAACUGGUUGUGGCCGACUUGAUCAAACAAACUCUGGCUUCCUGAACUGGUAACUGUCACUUUAACAUAGGUUACUGAUUAAACUCAGAAAAAUGCGGCUGAAAAUCUUUGCCAGGAACUUGUGUGGACUUACUCCGUGUUCCCCCUCUGCCCCUUGUUCUGAUUCGUUUUGUCACAGGAAUGAAGUGCAGAUAACUCUUCAAAAACUUUUUUAGGAAAAGCUCCUUGUGUGAUCUGGAACAAAGACGUUUUAUAAUCAGAUUUAUCAAGCUGUGAAGAGGGAGUUUUAGCGAACGGAAGCAGCAGCAUUCUGUCACCAGGAAAUACUGCUUUAUCCAGAAUUGUUGAAGUACUGAUCACAUGUCCAUGGUGUGACAGCCACUCUGGGAAGAAAUACUUGAGUUGAAGAGUCCCUCCCUAGAAGGCCAAAGAUGGUACAGCUGCCAG
Non-coding RNA from Microcebus murinus (gray mouse lemur), 11025 nucleotides. Lineage: Eukaryota; Metazoa; Chordata; Mammalia; Primates; Cheirogaleidae. The record is from RefSeq and is a predicted model, not a curated record.